CAGCAGCCGCGGGAAUACGAAGGGUGCAAGCGUUACUCGGAAUUACUGGGCGUAAAGCGUGCGUAGGUGGUGGUUUAAGUCCGUUGUGAAAGCCCUGGGCUCAGCCUGGGAAUUGCAGUGGAUACUGGAUCACUAGAGUGUGGUAGAGGAUAGUGGAAUUUCCGGUGUAGCAGUGAAAUGCGUAGAGAUCGGAAGGAACAUCUGUGGCGAAGGCGACUAUCUGGGCCAACACUGACACUGAGGCACGAAAGCGUGGGGAGCAAACAGGAUUAGAUACCCCUGUAGUCCCUGUCUCUUAUAC
RNAcentral lists this ribosomal RNA (301 nucleotides) under uncultured bacterium. RNAcentral describes it as "partial 16S ribosomal RNA". It matches the Rfam family "Bacterial small subunit ribosomal RNA", at positions 509 to 807 of the family's 1533-position model. The record is from RNAcentral.